RNAcentral lists this ribosomal RNA (253 nucleotides) under uncultured bacterium. RNAcentral describes it as "partial 16S ribosomal RNA". It matches the Rfam family "Bacterial small subunit ribosomal RNA", at positions 524 to 776 of the family's 1533-position model. The record is from RNAcentral.
UACGAAGGGGGCGAGCGUUGUUCGGAUUUACUGGGCGUAAAGGGCACGCAGGCGGCCAUGUUUGUCAGGCGUGAAAGCCCCGGGCUUAACCUGGGAACCGCGCUUGAGACGGGAUGGCUAGAGAUCGGGAGAGGAGAGUGGAAUUCCCAGUGUAGAGGUGAAAUUCGUAGAUAUUGGGAAGAACACCGGUGGCGAAGGCGGCUCUCUGGACCGAUACUGACGCUGAGGCGCGAAAGCGUGGGGAGCAAACAGG